UAAUAAGUGUUCUACUGCACUUUUUAAACAAGUACUCACCUUGUGUGCAAUGUUUGCUGUCGAGUCGUUUAUUCGUCUCGACAGCACAAUACCAACCUUUUAUUGUAAAUUUUUUGUCUGAAGCUAUUUCGAAUAUAUAAUUCUAAAUA
This 149-nucleotide unclassified non-coding RNA is filed under the name uncultured Mortierella. RNAcentral describes it as "sequence contains ITS1". The record is from RNAcentral. Lineage: Eukaryota; Fungi; Mortierellomycota; Mortierellomycetes; Mortierellales; Mortierellaceae.